AAAUCAGUAUAAGUAGGUACCAUGCAAUAUUUGGGACAUACCUAGACUAAAA
Molecule: microRNA precursor, 52 nt
Filed under: Marmota monax (woodchuck)
Lineage: Eukaryota; Metazoa; Chordata; Mammalia; Rodentia; Sciuridae
Source: RNAcentral